GGGUACUGCUGGUUGUCCAAAGGAAUAGGAAUUACAAAUCUUUGGGUGCCAAAGUGUGCGCUUCUUAAAACACCAAAUGAAGGAGCUUUUAGAGAUCCAAAUACGGAGGAGUCUGAGACAUUAUCAUCCCUGGACCACAACAAAGGUUCAUUGGCCGUGUAUUAACAUCAUAUUUCUUUUCUAAUGUUUGUUAAGUGGAUGAGCCCAGAGAUAUGUUUGUUUGACCAGAUUAGCAUACAUUCCUGCAUUAAAGGCAUCCGGUCUGUUCCAUAGAUGAAUCAGC
Molecule: unclassified non-coding RNA, 283 nt
Filed under: Hevea brasiliensis (rubber tree)
Lineage: Eukaryota; Viridiplantae; Streptophyta; Magnoliopsida; Malpighiales; Euphorbiaceae
Source: RNAcentral